UACGAAGGGGGCUAGCGUUGUUCGGAAUUACUGGGCGUAAAGCGUGCGCAGGCGGUUUUGUAAGACAGAGGUGAAAUCCCCGGGCUCAACCUGGGAACUGCCUUUGUGACUGCAAAGCUAGAGUACGGUAGAGGGGGAUGGAAUUCCGCGUGUAGCAGUGAAAUGCGUAGAUAUGCGGAGGAACACCGAUGGCGAAGGCAAUCCCCUGGACCUGUACUGACGCUCAUGCACGAAAGCGUGGGGAGCAAACAGG
RNAcentral lists this ribosomal RNA (253 nucleotides) under uncultured Comamonadaceae bacterium. RNAcentral's name for it is "partial 16S ribosomal RNA". It matches the Rfam family "Bacterial small subunit ribosomal RNA", at positions 524 to 776 of the family's 1533-position model. Lineage: Bacteria; Pseudomonadati; Pseudomonadota; Betaproteobacteria; Burkholderiales; Comamonadaceae. The record is from RNAcentral.